This 301-nucleotide ribosomal RNA is filed under the name uncultured bacterium. RNAcentral's name for it is "partial 16S ribosomal RNA". It matches the Rfam family "Bacterial small subunit ribosomal RNA", at positions 509 to 807 of the family's 1533-position model. The record is from RNAcentral.
CAGUAGCCGCGGGAAUACGUAGGUGGCAAGCGUUGUCCGGAAUUAUUGGGCGUAAAGGGCUCGCAGGCGGUCUCUUAAGUCUGAUGUGAAAGCCCACGGCUCAACCGGGGAGGGUCAUUGGAAACUGGGAAACUUGAGUGCAGAAGAGGAGAGUGGAAUUCCACGUGUAGCGGUGAAAUGCGUAGAGAUGUGGAGGAACACCAGUGGCGAAGGCGACUCUCUGGUCUGUAACUGACGCUGAGGAGCGAAAGCGUGGGGAGCGAACAGGAUUAGAUACCCCCGUAGUCCCUGUCUCUUAUAC